UCCCUAGUAGCUCAGAUGGUAAAGCAUCUGCCUGCAACAUAGGAGACCUGGGUUCAAUCCCUGGGUAGGGAA
RNAcentral lists this transfer RNA (72 nucleotides) under Bos taurus (domestic cattle). It matches the Rfam family "tRNA". Rfam says of the family: Transfer RNA (tRNA) molecules are approximately 80 nucleotides in length. Their secondary structure includes four short double-helical elements and three loops (D, anti-codon, and T loops). Further hydrogen bonds mediate the characteristic L-shaped molecular structure. tRNAs have two regions of fundamental functional importance: the anti-codon, which is responsible for specific mRNA codon recognition, and the 3' end, to which the tRNAs corresponding amino acid is attached (by aminoacyl-tRNA synthetases). tRNAs cope with the degeneracy of the genetic code in two manners: having more than one tRNA (with a specific anti-codon) for a particular amino acid; and 'wobble' base-pairing, i.e. permitting non-standard base-pairing at the 3rd anti-codon position. Lineage: Eukaryota; Metazoa; Chordata; Mammalia; Artiodactyla; Bovidae. The record is from Rfam by way of RNAcentral. RNAcentral also lists the same sequence under 6 other names.